UUUUAGUUUGACUCCCCGAAACUAAGCGAGCUACUUCAAAACAGCUUCAAGAGCCAACCCGUCUCUGUGGCAAUAGAGUGGGAAGAUUUUCUAGUAGAAGUGAUAAGCCCAACGAGCUUAGAGAUAGCUGGUUAUUCAGGAAAAGAAUUUUAGUUCUGCCUUAAAUUUUCCCCCUGUCCCCAAACAAAAAGAUUUAAGAGUUACUCAAUUAAGGCACAGCUUACUUGAAACAGGAUUCAACCUAGACAACAGGGUAAAAAAGGUUUAUCAUUAUAUGCAGUGGGCCUAAAAGCAGCCACCUUUUAAAAGCGUCAAAGCUUAACAUAAUAUUACCCCUAAUUCCACUAAUAACCAUGAACCCUUNACCCCUACUGAAUGAUGUUAUAAACUUAUAACAGACACUAUGCUAGGACUAGUAACAAGAAUACGAAAUUCUCCAAAAUGUAAGCAUAAACCAAAACGGACCAUCCAUUGGUAAUUAGCGGAAAUGAGCUCAAUACAGCAACACACCUAGAAAACCCUGUACCUUCCCCCGUCAACCUAACACUAGAACAUUCCUGGAAAGAUUAACAGAAGGAGAAGGAACUCGGCAAAUCUUAACCCCGCCUGUUUACCAAAAACACCGGCUCUUGCCCUCCCNAUAAGAGGUCCAGCCUGCCCAGUGAUAAAAUUCAACGGCCGCGGUAUCCUAACCGUGCGAAGGUAGCAUAAUCACUUGUUCUUUAAAUANGGACUCGUAUCAACGGCAUCACGAGGGUUGCACUGUCUCCUCCCUCCAAUCAGUGAAACUGAUCUCCCCGUGAAGAAGCGGGGGUAUCACUAUAAGACGAGAAGACCCCAUGGAGCUUAAAACUGGACAGCAACUUACUCAUAUUCUCCUCCCCACUCACAAAGACAUGCCCGUCAGUUUUUGGUUGGGGCGACCGCGGAGUAAAAACCAACCUCCACGUCAAAAGAAUACGAUUCUAUCUUAGAGUCACCCCUCAAGAAUUAGCACACUAAUAAACACGACCCGUUCAACGAUCAACGAACCAAGUUACCCUGGGGAUAACAGCGCAAUCUACUUCAAGAGCCCCUAUCGACAAGUAGGCUUACGACCUCGAUGUUGGAUCAGGGUAUCCUAGAGGCGCAGCCG
RNAcentral lists this ribosomal RNA (1135 nucleotides) under Theloderma corticale (Tonkin bug-eyed frog). RNAcentral's name for it is "partial 16S ribosomal RNA". It matches the Rfam family "Bacterial large subunit ribosomal RNA", at positions 700 to 2561 of the family's 2925-position model. The record is from RNAcentral. Lineage: Eukaryota; Metazoa; Chordata; Amphibia; Anura; Rhacophoridae.